GAAGUCUUGAGGUCUUAGGGUUUCCAAGGUUUGAUAGUUGCUUCGAUGGUGGAGGCAAUAGCUGUGCAUGUGCAAGUUAUAAAUAGGUUUAUACAAAUCGAUAACAAAUACCAUUUAUGUGGUUGGUAAUAGUGGAAUUUUCGCGCCUUCUAUUGUCAGCAAUUAGUGUUUUCCUCUACGAAUUGUUUGUUUCCAUCAUAUGUUAAUUGCUAUGUAUUGUUUCUCUGACUAGUUUUUCUAUAUAUGCUAAUACGGGUAUAUGAAAGCAGAUUGUUCCGACCAGAGUUCUAUGAAAACAAACUGAAUCCACUAAUUAUCUUCUAAAUGUUCCAACAGUUGAGAUAGGUGGAUAAGCCAACUGCUUGAGGAAGCCAUCUUGCAUAGCCUCAAUCCAGCAUAUUCUUCUUCGGUUAUGUUUCACUUCUGAUCAUAGGUCACUGGAAGAUCCAACCAAUUAAAACACGUCACGAUGCCAACACGUGGUGAUCGAGAGCGGCCACUCGGCAGGCUUAAUACCAUACCGCCGAACUUGCAUAUCAGAAGCUUCCCAUAGUUGGCCGCAUCCUAACUAGAAGACUUAGUGAUCAUCGAGAUCCCACCGGUAUGAUAUGUAGGACAUCAUCUACAUGCGAAGCAUUCACGCCUGAUGUCUAGGCCAUAUGCUCUAAUUUCCUGGUGGAAGGUAGGCUCCUCUAUUGGACAUACAUAAAAAGGGAGGAUUGAAGAGGUAAGAAAGAAGAAGAACGCCCUAAUAGACUGAAAGACGACCUCCUCCUGUUUCUUAAUUACUAUAUUGGCUUAGACAUCGGAGAGUCCCCCACUAGAUAUGUUCCAACCAGAGGACUUUUUUUGCUCUGUGUUGUUUCAGAUCGGAGUGCUACCAUCCGAUGAGGAUCUCGGCUGCAGUGAUCGAGCGAUGCACGCCUUUUUCAAUUCCGACCAGAGCGGCCAACCAGCGAGCUCUCUAUUGUCAUCGCGCUUCUCACUCUGGUGCCUAGGGCCAGUCAAUUCUUAAUGACAACAGGAUCACUGAUGAAAGAAGGGCUAGAUAUAGCAUAUGCUAGCAUAAGGCCUUUGCAACUUAAUAUGCUUCUUUAUUGGCUAAGUUGAAAGACCUUCAAGUAAGAUUGAGUUGAAGCUUGAAAUUUUUAACUCUGAUAAUUGCAAAUGAAGCUUAGGGCUAAUAUUUUGUAAACUAGAUAUCGAGUACAAUCUAGUUACUUUUUUUUUAUGUAAGUAUGGAUGUUUUGAUGAUUUAGAUUCGUUCCUAAUCUAGUGUGAACAGUUAUAAAGU
Phoenix dactylifera (date palm) is the source of this 1294-nucleotide non-coding RNA. Lineage: Eukaryota; Viridiplantae; Streptophyta; Magnoliopsida; Arecales; Arecaceae. The record is from RefSeq and is a predicted model, not a curated record.